RNAcentral lists this ribosomal RNA (515 nucleotides) under uncultured Glomus. RNAcentral describes it as "SSU rRNA". It matches the Rfam family "Eukaryotic small subunit ribosomal RNA", at positions 569 to 1087 of the family's 1831-position model. Lineage: Eukaryota; Fungi; Glomeromycota; Glomeromycetes; Glomerales; Glomeraceae. The record is from RNAcentral.
AGCAGCCGCGGUAAUUCCAGCUCCAAUAGCGUAUAUUAAAGUUGUUGCAGUUAAAAAGCUCGUAGUUGAAUUUCGGGGUCAGUAGGUUGGUCAUGCCUCCGGUAUGUACUGGUCUCACUGAUUCCUCCUUCCUGAUGAGCCGUAAUGCCAUUAAUUUGGUGUUGCGGGGAAUCUGGACUGUUACUUUGAAAAAAUUAGAGUGUUUAAAGCAAGCUAACGCUUGAAUACAUUAGCAUGGAAUAAUGGAAUAGGACGUUCGAUCCUAUUUUGUUGGUUUCUAGGAUUGACGUAAUGAUUAAUAGGGAUAGUUGGGGGCAUUAGUAUUCAAUUGUCAGAGGUGAAAUUCUUGGAUUUAUUGAAGACUAACUACUGCGAAAGCAUUUGCCAAGGAUGUUUUCAUUAAUCAAGAACGAAAGUUAGGGGAUCGAAGACGAUCAGAUACCGUCGUAGUCUUAACCAUAAACUAUGCCGACUAGGGAUCGGAUGAUGUAAUUUUUAAUGACUCAUUCGGCGCC